AUUGAACGCUGGCGGCAUGCCUUACACAUGCAAGUCGAACGGUAACAGGUCUUCGGAUGCUGACGAGUGGCGAACGGGUGAGUAAUACAUCGGAACGUGCCUAGUAGUGGGGGAUAACUACUCGAAAGAGUGGCUAAUACCGCAUGAGAUCUACGGAUGAAAGCAGGGGAUCGCAAGACCUUGUGCUACUAGAGCGGCCGAUGGCAGAUUAGGUAGUUGGUGGGAUAAAAGCUUACCAAGCCGACGAUCUGUAGCUGGUCUGAGAGGACGAUCAGCCACACUGGGACUGAGAAACGGCCCAGACUCCUACGGGAGGCAGCAGUGGGGAAUUUUGGACAAUGGGCGCAAGCCUGAUCCAGCAAUGCCGCGUGCAGGAUGAAGGCCUUCGGGUUGUAAACUGCUUUUGUACGGAACGAAACGGCUCUGGUUAAUACCUGGGGCUAAUGACGGUACCGUAAGAAUAAGCACCGGCUAACUACGUGCCAGCAGCCGCCGUAA
This 498-nucleotide ribosomal RNA is filed under the name uncultured bacterium. Its description in RNAcentral is "partial 16S ribosomal RNA". It matches the Rfam family "Bacterial small subunit ribosomal RNA", at positions 30 to 523 of the family's 1533-position model. The record is from RNAcentral.